GAGUAAUAGAAGAAGAGUAAAACCAAAAACAGCCCACGCAAGGCCUUGGGGAUGGGGGGUUUCUACUCUGCAGCUUGCACACUCUAACUUGUUCACUUUCAAAUUCCAAAUUGCAAAUCCCAAAACCAAAACCCUAGGAGAGAGACACGGAGACACGGAGACACUGAAUGAUUGAUUGAUGGCAUCUUCCAAGUUAAUGGCUUCUUCCCAUUCACGGAACUCAGAGUCCUCCUCUCCUUCUCCCACGCCUCAAUUUACCACCACCAACUUCAUCCCCAUCUCCGACGCCGCCGUCACCGCCGCCCCCAAGACCGUCGAUGAUGUGUGGCGGGAGAUCGUGGCCGGAGACCGCCGCGAAUGCAAGGAAGAGGCUCCUGACGACGAGAUGAUGACUCUCGAAGACUUCCUCGCCAAGGCCGGCGCAGUCGACGAUGACAACAAUGAAGAAGUCGAUUGCGACAUGAAGAUUCCAAUGCCCCUCACGGAGAGGCUUGGCAGCGGCGUCUUCGCCUUCGAUCCCCUCCUCGCCGCGACGCCGUUUCAGGAUGGAGUGGAAGGCUCCGUCAUAGGGUUCGGGAACGGCGUGGAGGUGGUUGAAGGCGGGAGAGGAAAGAGAGCACGUCCCGUUUUGGAACAGUUGGAUAAGGCAGCGCAACAGAGACAGAGGAGGAUGAUUAAAAACAGAGAAUCUGCUGCUAGGUCUCGGGAACGCAAGCAGGCUUACCAAGUGGAAUUAGAGUCCUUGGCGGUGAAACUAGAGGAGGAAAACGACAAGCUCUUGAAGGAAAAGGAGACAAUAAGUUUUGUUAUGUGUUGAACUUGAAAGUUGAAACCCUUCCAGUGCUGACUUUUCGUUUUUGGUUUGAUUUGGCUGAUCAUUGAUUGGGUUUUUGGCCUGGUCUUGUUCCCUGACCUGGUUCCGUUACCUUGCUGUUGGGUGCUAUCUAUUAAUAUUUCGGAUUGCAUUGAUGGACUUUCCUUUCGUAAACACGCUUCCAGGCCGAGAGGAAAAAAGAGAGGUACAAGCAGCUAAUGGAAAAAGUACUCCCUGUAGCGCAGAAACAAAAGCCGCCGUGUAUACUCCGUAGGGCUCGCUCCUUGCAGUGGUAGAUAAAAUUUGCUAGUUGUGCAGCUGCAUGACAGUUACUGAAUUAGUCCCAUCAGUGGUGGGGGAAGUAAUAACAGGACCAAACUAAUCAUCAUGUCUUAAAUGAUAGUUCUCAGCCUAACGGUUAGUGUCAAGGGCGAUCUUGUUUAAUGAUACGAAGAGAUAGAUAGAAGGAAUUGAAUCGGAAGGGCUAAGGAAAAUUCCUUAUUGCGUGAGAAACAGCAGUUACUUAUUCGUAGGUGUAAAAACAGAAAUAUGGAGUUGGAUCAUGUAGUUUUAGAUGAGUUUGACUUCCUGGUCUCUCUCCCCUAUGCAGUGUCAAUGUGUAAUAGUAGAUAGCAAAGGGGAUUUGCAGACGAGUAUAUAUCUUUAUUUGGAGAAAAGUCUAUAGAAAUUGUUAAUGCGACCUGUAAAAGCGUUAUAGUAUGGAAAAUUCUUGUGCGUGUGAAAGAUAAUCUCUGAUGUCCGGAGAUACGGGAGUAUUUCAGUCUCAACUUAAGAACCCGAUUCUGUUGUAAAAUACCAACGAGCGCUGUUCUUGACGCGAAUAAUUUAUUGAUUUUAUUGUAAUUCUUUUUUGUUAUCCGUAGGCCUCUUUUAGAAAACCGAAGUUAAUUAUAAUGAUUCUAUAAAUUGACAGAGUUCUUGAGAAGCGAGAGGCAAAUGAGGAGAAAAUAUUAAAUAGACCAAAGACAAUAAAUAUGAUGCUUCCUCUUUGUCGUUGCUAUCCUUGUGGUCUCGUUAUCUGUAUGUUGGACCACGUGCUGAGAUUAAAUGAAAGCAAAGCUGCCACCUUAGGGAAAGACAUGGAGCCUUAUGUUUUUUACUGUCCCUACUUCCAUAGAGCAAUUGUUGUACCAUUUUACAGCAAGAACAUUACUCACAAUUGUCAAUGUUAAAAAUUAAAGUCACAGUUCUGUAGUUCAGAGCUCU
RNA transcript from Vigna umbellata (rice bean), 2041 nucleotides. It is a transcript of the gene named G-box-binding factor 4-like, with no coding region annotated. The record is from RefSeq and is a predicted model, not a curated record. NCBI's taxonomy places the organism in Eukaryota, Viridiplantae, Streptophyta, Magnoliopsida, Fabales, Fabaceae.